GGCUUAGAAGCAGCAAUUCCUUUAAAGAGUGCGUAACAGCUCACUGGUCGAGUGUCCAUGCGCAGAUAAUGUAACGGGGCUAAGCAGUAUACCGAAGCUACGGGUCUUAUGCAUUUUUGAGCAUAAGGCGGUAGGGGAGCAUUCCAUUAACUGAUGAAGGAAUACCCGCGAGGGAUUCUGGAGGAGAUGGAAGAGAGAAUGCAGGUAUAAGUAACGAAAAGGGAGGUGAGAUCCCUCCCCGCCGAAAAUCUAAGGUUUCCUGGGUAAAGGUAAUCUCCCCAGGGUAAGUCGGCCCCUAAGGCGAGGACGAAGGUCGUAGUCGAUGGGAAAUCGGUUCAUAUUCCGAUACCUUUUAUAAUUUCGAUGGCAGGACGCAUGAGGUGAAACCCGGCCGGCUAACGGAUGCCGGUCAAAGUAAGCGAGCCGUUAUAAAGGAUGAUAGGCAAAUCCGUCGUCCAAGGUAAGCUGCGACAGCGAGUGAAACUACGGUGGAUCGAAGCGGGCGUAAUCAAGGUGCCGGGAAAUACUGUCUAAGGUUAAGGUUAUAAAAGACCGUACCGUAAACC
RNAcentral lists this ribosomal RNA (566 nucleotides) under Pectobacterium brasiliense. Its description in RNAcentral is "partial 23S ribosomal RNA". It matches the Rfam family "Bacterial large subunit ribosomal RNA", at positions 1103 to 1655 of the family's 2925-position model. The record is from RNAcentral. Lineage: Bacteria; Pseudomonadati; Pseudomonadota; Gammaproteobacteria; Enterobacterales; Pectobacteriaceae.